This 434-nucleotide ribosomal RNA is filed under the name uncultured bacterium. Its description in RNAcentral is "partial 16S ribosomal RNA". It matches the Rfam family "Bacterial small subunit ribosomal RNA", at positions 29 to 507 of the family's 1533-position model. The record is from RNAcentral.
AGCGAACGCUGGCGGCAGGCCUAACACAUGCAAGUCGAACGAACCUUUCGGGGUUAGUGGCGGACGGGUGAGUAACACGUGGGAACGUGCCUUUAGGUUCGGAAUAACUCAGGGAAACUUGUGCUAAUACCGAAUGUGCCCUUCGGGGGAAAGAUUUAUCGCCUUUAGAGCGGCCCGCGUCUGAUUAGCUAGUUGGUUGAGGUAAUGGCUCACCAAGGCGACGAUCAGUAGCUGGUCUGAGAGGAUGAUCAGCCACAUUGGGACUGAGACACGGCCCAAACUCCUGCGGGAGGCAGCAGUGGGGAAUCUUGCGCAAUGGGCGAAAGCCUGACGCAGCCAUGCCGGGUGAAUGAUGAAGGUCUUAGGAUUGUAAAAUUCUUUCACCGGGGACGAUAAUGACGGUACCCGGAGAAGAAGCCCCGGCUAACUUCGUG